This 305-nucleotide small RNA is filed under the name Arabidopsis thaliana (thale cress). RNAcentral's name for it is "ATSL264670". Lineage: Eukaryota; Viridiplantae; Streptophyta; Magnoliopsida; Brassicales; Brassicaceae. The record is from RNAcentral.
UCCCCACACCUAUUAAACUCGACCCCAUUCCCCUUAUUCAUCACAACCAACAAACCCAUCCUCAUCAAAGCCACGCACUCGACCGCUUCUCACUCGCCUCUUCACCAUCGUCUCAAGAUCACUCGACCGCGGUGCUGGCCGCAGCAGAAGGAGAGAGGUCGAGUUUCCUCAGAGCGGUGCUGGCCGCCACAGAGCUGAUGAGGUCGAGUACCCACCUGCUGGAGCUGAUACAGAACAAGGAGGUUCGUCUAUGGCCUGGGAGCAAUCGCAGGGAGCCAUUGACGAGCAACUACGUUCAUUCUUCG